Molecule: ribosomal RNA, 239 nt
Filed under: uncultured bacterium
Lineage: Bacteria
Description: partial 16S ribosomal RNA
Rfam family: Bacterial small subunit ribosomal RNA
Source: RNAcentral
GUGACCUACGGGAGGCAGCAGUGGGGGAUAUUGCACAAUGGGGGGAACCCUGAUGCAGCGACGCCGCGUGGGUGAAGAAGCGCCCCGGCGCGUAAAGCCCUGUCAGCAGGGAAGAAGAAGGACGGUACCUGACCAAGAAGCCCCGGCUAACUACGUGCCAGCAGCCGCGGUAAUACGUAGGGGGCCAGCGUUAUCCGGAUUUCCUGGGUGUAAAGGGGGCCCAGACGGCGAUGCAAGCC